RNAcentral lists this ribosomal RNA (249 nucleotides) under uncultured bacterium. RNAcentral's name for it is "partial 16S ribosomal RNA". The record is from RNAcentral.
CUGCUGCCUUCCGUAGGAGUCUGGUCCGUGUCUCAGUACCAGUGUGGGGGACCUUCCUCUCAGAACCCCUACGCAUCGUCGUCUUGGUGGUCCGUUACACCGCCAACUAACUGAUGCGACGCAUGCCCAUCCGCCACCGGAAUUAACCUUUGGCACCAACAGGAUGUCCCGUCGAUGCACUAUGCCGUAUUAGACGGAAUUUCUCCCGAUUAUCCGGCUGUGGCAGGCAGGUUGCAUACGUGUUACUCA